RNAcentral lists this unclassified non-coding RNA (365 nucleotides) under Hevea brasiliensis (rubber tree). The record is from RNAcentral. Lineage: Eukaryota; Viridiplantae; Streptophyta; Magnoliopsida; Malpighiales; Euphorbiaceae.
UUAUUGAGGGCUUUGGAUUUGGAAGAUGCUGAAAUUGAUAUAUUGCCAGAAGGGUUGGGGAUUCUAAUCAACUUAAGGCACUUGAAUUUGAGAGGGACUCGAGUGGCAAAGCUUCCAAAAUCUAUUGGAAAACUCCAAAACCUUGAGUCUUUGGAAAUUAUUGAAACAAAUAUAAAAGAACUUCCUAGUGAAGUGGCUAAGUUGCAGAACUUGCGCUAUCUAUCUAUGUUUAGCAAGUAUAUUGCACACCACCGUAAUUUUGAACUUGUAAAGGGGGUGCAAGUACCAUUUGAAAUUGGCAAAUUGAAGAAAUUGCAAGUCUUGUUAUACAUUGAAGCAACAGGCGACAUAAUAAGGCAACUUAG